Peromyscus eremicus (cactus mouse) is the source of this 303-nucleotide long non-coding RNA. RefSeq lists it as uncharacterized. The transcript has 2 exons. Lineage: Eukaryota; Metazoa; Chordata; Mammalia; Rodentia; Cricetidae. The record is from RefSeq and is a predicted model, not a curated record.
UAUACUUAUAGAUAUUAUUUUAUUUUAUAUACAUGAAAAUGAUCAAUUAGCACAUAGCAUUAGGCCAGUAAGUGUUCUGGUUACUAUGGAGACUCAUGUGGAGCCUGAUGUGUCUGAGUUUUUUCACUUCACGAAGAAAGAAGAUCAUCUACCAUAGAGUCUGUUUCCUGAACAUUGAUGAGGCUGUUAUACUCCACUUGAACAUAUUUAUAUUUUUGAAGUUUUAGUAAACAAAUAAGAGGAUUAAGUAAAAACACAGAGAAAGGGGAAAGAGCAAUAAAAUAUUGCCAUGUGUUGAAUUCA